RNAcentral lists this ribosomal RNA (627 nucleotides) under uncultured cyanobacterium. Its description in RNAcentral is "SSU rRNA". It matches the Rfam family "Bacterial small subunit ribosomal RNA", at positions 110 to 770 of the family's 1533-position model. Lineage: Bacteria; Bacillati; Cyanobacteriota. The record is from RNAcentral.
GUAACGCGUGAGAAUCUGCCUUCAGGAUGGGGACAACAAUUGGAAACGAUUGCUAAUACCCGAUAUGACGAAAGUUGAAAGAUUUAUCGCCUGGGGAUGAGCUCGCGUCAGAUUAGCUAGAUGGUGUGGUAACGGCGCACCAUGGCGACGAUCUGUAGCUGGUCUGAGAGGAUGAGCAGCCACACUGGGACUGAGACACGGCCCAGACUCCUACGGGAGGCAGCAGUGGGGAAUUUUCCGCAAUGGGCGCAAGCCUGACGGAGCAAUACCGCGUGAGGGAGGAAGGCUCUUGGGUCGUAAACCUCUUUUCUCAGGGAAGAACAAAAUGACGGUACCUGAGGAAUCAGCAUCGGCUAACUCCGUGCCAGCAGCCGCGGUAAUACGGAGGAUGCAAGCGUUAUCCGGAAUGAUUGGGCGUAAAGCGUCCGUAGGUGGUUAUGUAAGUCUGUGGUUAAAGCGUGGGGCUCAACCCCAUAAGGGCCAUGGAAACUACAAGACUUGAGUAAAGUAGGGGUAGAGGGAAUUCCCAGUGUAGCGGUGAAAUGCGUAGAGAUUGGGAAGAACACCGGUGGCGAAAGCGCUCUACUGGACUUAAACUGACACUGAGGGACGAAAGCUAGGGGAGCG